This 667-nucleotide unclassified non-coding RNA is filed under the name Hevea brasiliensis (rubber tree). The record is from RNAcentral. Lineage: Eukaryota; Viridiplantae; Streptophyta; Magnoliopsida; Malpighiales; Euphorbiaceae.
UAAUAUUUGGUACUUUCAAGUGAGAUCUAUUGCUGUUUUGUGAGUUUUGGAUUUUGGGUGUUACUGGGUCUGUUCUCAAGUGCUUGGUUGCGGAGCCUGGCUCAUCUGAUUGCUGAAAUCAUUAGCUCACAAUCUGGUCGGCUUUCUCUAAAGAAGCACGCGUGGGAGAUUCUGUUCUGUUUUUUGGAGCUGGAAUGUGGGCUUCCAUUUGCUGAAGAUUUCUGUAGUUUAAGCGCCUUAGUUAGUGACUAGUCGAGUUGGGGGGUUGUGGGUGAAGAAAAUAGCGAGCGGAUGUGGCUGAAAUCGAUAGUCUUUUGUAGCAACACCGGCUUCGGUUGAGGAGUCAGAAGUGGGUUUUUGCUGGUGUUGUUAGUUUUCAAAUGAAGUUCAUGUUGAAUAUCAUUUGACUUCCGCGUCUCGCUGAUGGUUAGACACAAAAAUAUGUCAAUCUGGAUUGGUGUUUGAAGGGGAAGGGAAAAGGUGAAGGCAUGGUAUUGUGUGGGGAGAAGCCAGUGAAGAGAAUAAUUGUUGAGUGGUUUGGUUGGUUUAAUUUGGGGUUUAAUUGUUGUGGUUAAGAGUGGUUCUUUUGGAUCUUUUUGUUGCGGGUCUCAACUUGUUUUUGAAGGCGGUAUUAAAUCUCUGUGAUAAUGAGGCUCUCUUCAGCUGG